RNAcentral lists this small nuclear RNA (127 nucleotides) under Fukomys damarensis (Damara mole-rat). RNAcentral's name for it is "U4 spliceosomal RNA". It matches the Rfam family "U4 spliceosomal RNA". From Rfam's summary of the family: U4 small nuclear RNA (U4 snRNA) is a component of the major U2-dependent spliceosome. The structure of U4 snRNA from yeast and human has been reported. U4 snRNA presents a k-turn RNA motif in the 5p-SL related to recognition of Snu13 protein. The record is from Rfam by way of RNAcentral. Lineage: Eukaryota; Metazoa; Chordata; Mammalia; Rodentia; Bathyergidae.
AGCUUUGCACAGUGGCAAUAAUGUGGCCAAUGAGAUUUAACCGGGUGCAAUUAUUGCUAAUUGAAAACUCUUUUCUCAAUCCUAGAAUGCUUAGUAUAAAAUAGGGUUCAAAUUCCCAGAAAUAUGG